GGGCCCGCACAAGCGGAGGAACAUGUGGUUUAAUUCGAUGAUACGCGAGGAACCUUACCCGGGCUUAAAUUGCAAAUGAAUAAGCUGGAAACAGUUUAGCCGCAAGGCAUUUGUGAAGGUGCUGCAUGGUUGUCGUCAGCUCGUGCCGUGAGGUGUCGGCUUAAGUGCCAUAACGAGCGCAACCCUUAUUUAUAGUUACCAUCAGGUUAUGCUGGGGACUCUAUGAAGACUGCCGUCGUAAGAUGUGAGGAAGGUGGGGAUGACGUCAAAUCAGCACGGCCCUUACGUCCGGGGCUACACACGUGUUACAAUGGGGGGUACAGCAGGUUGCUACACAGCGAUGUGAUGCUAAUCCGUAAAACCUCUCUCAGUUCGGAUCGAAGUCCUGCAACCCGACUUCGUGAAGCUGGAUUCGCUAGUAAUCGCGCAUCAGCCACGGCGCGGUGAAUACG
This 452-nucleotide ribosomal RNA is filed under the name uncultured Bacteroidales bacterium. RNAcentral describes it as "bacterial SSU rRNA". It matches the Rfam family "Bacterial small subunit ribosomal RNA", at positions 917 to 1370 of the family's 1533-position model. The record is from RNAcentral. Lineage: Bacteria; Pseudomonadati; Bacteroidota; Bacteroidia; Bacteroidales.